UGAAACAGAUAUAUCAUUUUAUUGUCAACCAUAAGUAGGAAAAAUACAGAGUUGUAAUGGAAACAAGCUGACCCUGUUUAAAACCAACUACAAGAAUACUCAGAAGAGAACAACAAAAUAAACACCUGUUUUACCACCAGGUGGCUGUAAAUGUCCUAAUUUUACAUUAAAAACAGCUGCCAUUAUAUAUUUUUGUAUAUAUAUUUUUCAAAUAUGUAACAUUCUAUUUCAGACAUUGUGCAGGUGAGUUGCUGGUAUUCCAUAGACAUUUAACAAGAGAUGGUCCAGUGCAUGACUAGUGAAACAUUACCUCAGUACAUGUAUUAACUUUCAGCUGGCCACAAGCCUUACCAUAGCAUUCCUACUUUUACUUACAAAGAGAUAGAAACAAAUUAAGAAAAAUUAAAAGGGCACUCAAAUGACAGACAGGUAAUUGUAUUAUCUUCAAUACAUUUUUGUAAAAGCAUAAGAAACUGAAAAUUAAAGUAAAAAAGUUGAAUUUAGUUUUUUAAGCAUUAUUAUUACCAAAUAUGGGUUAACAAACACCCAUGAGGGAUGCACAUUUUCUAUGGCAGCUCCAUUUUAUCAGAUCUUUUUAUUUUGGUGGCCACACAUGCACCAGUUAUCAAAUGUCUGUAGUGAAGAGCUAGUGUGCCAGGGAUUCAAGUUGUCUCCAAAAUCCACAGUGACUAGCACCUGCCAAACAUCCUCCUUCCCAAUCUCUAAGGCAGAAGUAAACAAUUUCCAUCCUGGAUUGCUAAAACCUAGUUAAUUGUAAUCACCUGGUGUCCCAAACCAGAAUCAGUCCCUGUUUAAGAGAGAAUGGCCAAGACCUUCCAAGACCAGAAGACCAGUACCCCAUUACAACCUUGAAAUCAGGGAGUGAUUUAGACCCAGGACACCAGGCGGGUGAAAUCCAUGAAAACAGAUCAGGUACAACAGAAAACAAUCAGGAUCCAGAAAGUAAGGGUUGAAUAACUUUGCAUGUGGGUCUGCAUCCAGAUCAAUUGGCAGCAGAAACAGUGUUCAGAUUUAAAUAUUUUAAUAAAUGUUAGUUAAACCAUUGGAAUCCUAGAAUGCUGCCAAUCUACAAGCAAAUAGCCUUUUAAACAAGCCAUCUCAAUGUCAGCUACUACCAAUGCAGCCGCAUCCGAUAAUAUGGCUCAACAAAGCAAAGGGUAAACUUUUGAGAUUCUAACUGGGUGACAAUGACAAACCUUUAUUUAUAUGUGCCUUUAUUAUAUCUAGAUUCUUGUCAGAUAUUUAAAAGAUGCUGUUCAAAUCAAGUAAUCUUGAAUUAAAAGUUAGCAACCAUAUAAAUCUAUAAUUCAGUGUGCCAACAUUUUUACAAAAAAAUACAUUUGGUUUGAGAAUCAAAAAACAAACCAAUCACAAAACAAACCAAUCACUCUACGAUAACAUCUGUCAUCAUACGGUAACAAUGUAUUUCAAAAUAGGAAACAUGAUACAUUAUUAAUUCACAACUUACACAAAAACAAAUUGUCGCUACAACAUCAGCAAUCCAAUAUAACUAACUACAUACAUUGCUUUUUCUUGAAAACAUCUGAAACAAAAAAGGGUGGCAAAGUUCAAAAGGGACAACAGAAAUGGAACAAUCUUUUCUACUUGGUAAAUUAUUUUUAAAAUAUGCUUUUGCAAAACAGCAAAAGUAUCAUUUAAAAAAAGCCAAGAAUAGCUGCACUAGUGGUCUACAGUAAGUGCUUGUCAAUCCACUGAAUAAAAAUUACAUUUUGGAAAGCAAAACAAAGCACGCAAGAUGGCCUUGUAGUAAAUUAUCAAAACCUUAAAAACAGACUGCAUCUGUCCGAUCUUACAACAGUUUGGAAACAAGCUGGACUGCACCAUAACUCCUGUUAACAAGCUCACUGAGCAAUAUUUAAGCAUUUUCAGCACUGUAUCUUCUUCCCCCACCUAGUGUCAUCUGUACAGUAUACAGUAUGUGGUGAGUGGACUUAACGAUUAGCUUUGAAGUAGAAUAAAUCAAAUGGCACAAGAGACAAUGGAGGAUUACCUGUGGUCCAGCAGUAGACAUAAGAGAACACAUUGAAAUAAAACACGUUUCAAAAGGAUCGCCUGAGUUGUGGAGUCAGUGGCUCUAGAUAUAUACAGCCAUUUUACACUGGACUGUGGGGGGGUUCCAAAUAAAAACUCUGCAUGAUCAGGUAAAUUAUAAAGACAGACCAAAUUACGACAUUAUAAAAUUGAUCUAGUUAAGGGACAAGAGCGGUUUAUAGUUAAAGGUGCAAAAAAAUAAACAUAGCCCAUUUCAAAACAGUAAAUUGACCUGAUUACUCUAAAUAUCAAUGAAGUUAGAUAAGGAAAUAUAAAUAAUAGUACAAAAACAACUACUACUAAAGGUUUUUUUUUUUAAUUGAGAAAAACAGGAGGCCAUUCAGGUGGUUACUGCAUUUUUGGGAACAGAAUCAGUGAGGCACAAUGUUUCAUGUUUAAGCGCAAAUGCCAAAUAUGAGAGAUAUGACAACAUUGCAAGAAACCUGACUCUGAAAUGCAUUCAAUAAAAUAAAAAAAGUGGUUCAUCGGGUAAAUGUAACCUGGUCGAGUGCAAAUAUCAGAGAAAACCUGUAUAAGAAACUAUUGUUUAGUCUUUUGUACAUACCGGUCUUUUACAUUUUCUUCAACAUUUAUAAUAAAAUGUUUGCCUAAAUUUACAAUACAAUCCUUUUAUCCGAAUCUGACCAUACAUACAUGUACGAAACUAUGUAAUGUAUUAGGACUACUUCAGUUCAUAGACAAUCACGUUAAGUCCAAGGUUUUUAAUCAAACAAAUAGCUAAGCUA
Esox lucius (northern pike) is the source of this 2819-nucleotide long non-coding RNA. Lineage: Eukaryota; Metazoa; Chordata; Actinopteri; Esociformes; Esocidae. The record is from Ensembl.